This 137-nucleotide ribosomal RNA is filed under the name uncultured eukaryote. RNAcentral describes it as "partial 18S ribosomal RNA". It matches the Rfam family "Eukaryotic small subunit ribosomal RNA", at positions 1299 to 1458 of the family's 1831-position model. The record is from RNAcentral.
UGGUGGAGUGAUUUGUCUGGUUAAUUCCGUUAACGAACGAGACCUCAGCCUACUAAAUAGGAUUCAUCGGUUAGCCGGUGUCUACCUUCUUAGAGGGACUUUGAGUGUUUAGCUCAAGGAAGAUUGAAGCAAUAACA